RNAcentral lists this ribosomal RNA (468 nucleotides) under uncultured bacterium. Its description in RNAcentral is "partial 16S ribosomal RNA". It matches the Rfam family "Bacterial small subunit ribosomal RNA", at positions 28 to 507 of the family's 1533-position model. The record is from RNAcentral.
GACGAACGCUGGCGGCGUGCUUAACACAUGCAAGUCGAACGGAAAGGCCCUGCUUUUGUGGGGUGCUCGAGUGGCGAACGGGUGAGUAACACGUGAGUAACCUGCCCUUGACUUUGGGAUAACUUCAGGAAACUGGGGCUAAUACCGGAUAGGAGCUCCUGCUGCAUGGUGGGGGUUGGAAAGUUUCGGCGGUUGGGGAUGGACUCGCGGCUUAUCAGCUUGUUGGUGGGGUAGUGGCUUACCAAGGCUUUGACGGGUAGCCGGCCUGAGAGGGUGACCGGCCACGUUGGGACUGAGAUACGGCCCAGACUCCUACGGGAGGCAGCAGUGGGGAAUAUUGCACAAUGGGCGGAAGCCUGAUGCAGCAACGCCGCGUGCGGGAUGACGGCCUUCGGGUUGUAAACCGCUUUCGCCUGUGACGAAGCGUGAGUGACGGUAAUGGGUAAAGAAGCACCGACUAACUACGUG